RNAcentral lists this ribosomal RNA (2927 nucleotides) under Bacillus velezensis. RNAcentral's name for it is "23S ribosomal RNA". It matches the Rfam family "Bacterial large subunit ribosomal RNA". The record is from RNAcentral. Lineage: Bacteria; Bacillati; Bacillota; Bacilli; Caryophanales; Bacillaceae.
GGUUAAGUUAGAAAGGGCGCACGGUGGAUGCCUUGGCACUAGGAGCCGAUGAAGGACGGGACGAACACCGAUAUGCUUCGGGGAGCUGUAAGCAAGCUUUGAUCCGGAGAUUUCCGAAUGGGGAAACCCACCACUCGUAAUGGAGUGGUAUCCAUAUCUGAAUACAUAGGAUAUGAGAAGGCAGACCCGGGGAACUGAAACAUCUAAGUACCCGGAGGAAGAGAAAGCAAAUGCGAUUCCCUGAGUAGCGGCGAGCGAAACGGGAUCAGCCCAAACCAAGAGGCUUGCCUCUUGGGGUUGUAGGACACUCUGUACGGAGUUACAAAGGAACGAGGUAGAUGAAGAGGUCUGGAAAGGCCGCCAUAGGAGGUAACAGCCCUGUAGUCAAAACUUCGUUCUCUCCUGAGUGGAUCCUGAGUACGGCGGAACACGUGAAAUUCCGUCGGAAUCCGGGAGGACCAUCUCCCAAGGCUAAAUACUCCCUAGUGACCGAUAGUGAACCAGUACCGUGAGGGAAAGGUGAAAAGCACCCCGGAAGGGGAGUGAAAGAGAUCCUGAAACCGUGUGCCUACAAGUAGUCAGAGCCCGUUAACGGGUGAUGGCGUGCCUUUUGUAGAAUGAACCGGCGAGUUACGAUCCCGUGCAAGGUUAAGCAGAAGAUGCGGAGCCGCAGCGAAAGCGAGUCUGAAUAGGGCGAAUUGAGUACGUGGUCGUAGACCCGAAACCAGGUGAUCUACCCAUGUCCAGGGUGAAGUUCAGGUAACACUGAAUGGAGGCCGAACCCACGCACGUUGAAAAGUGCGGGGAUGAGGUGUGGGUAGGGGUGAAAUGCCAAUCGAACCUGGAGAUAGCUGGUUCUCUCCGAAAUAGCUUUAGGGCUAGCCUCAAGGUAAGAGUCUCGGAGGUAGAGCACUGAUUGGACUAGGGCCCUACCGGGUUACCGAAUUCAGUCAAACUCCGAAUGCCGAUGACUUAUCCUUGGGAGUCAGACUGCGAGUGAUAAGAUCCGUAGUCGAAAGGGAAACAGCCCAGACCGCCAGCUAAGGUCCCAAAGUAUACGUUAAGUGGAAAAGGAUGUGGAGUUGCUUAGACAACCAGGAUGUUGGCUUAGAAGCAGCCACCAUUUAAAGAGUGCGUAAUAGCUCACUGGUCGAGUGACUCUGCGCCGAAAAUGUACCGGGGCUAAACGUAUCACCGAAGCUGCGGACUGUUCUUCGAACAGUGGUAGGAGAGCGUUCUAAGGGCUGUGAAGCAAGACCGGAAGGACUUGUGGAGCGCUUAGAAGUGAGAAUGCCGGUAUGAGUAGCGAAAGAGGGGUGAGAAUCCCCUCCACCGAAUGCCUAAGGUUUCCUGAGGAAGGCUCGUCCGCUCAGGGUUAGUCGGGACCUAAGCCGAGGCCGAAAGGCGUAGGCGAUGGAUAACAGGUUGAUAUUCCUGUACCACCUCCUCACCAUUUGAGCAAUGGGGGGACGCAGGAGGAUAGGGUAAGCGCGGUAUUGGAUAUCCGCGUCCAAGCAGUUAGGCUGGGAAAUAGGCAAAUCCGUUUCCCGUGAAGGCUGAGCUGUGAUGGCGAGCGAAUUAUAGUAGCGAAGUUCCUGAUUCCACACUGCCAAGAAAAGCCUCUAGCGAGGUGAGAGGUGCCCGUACCGCAAACCGACACAGGUAGGCGAGGAGAGAAUCCUAAGGUGAUCGAGAGAACUCUCGUUAAGGAACUCGGCAAAAUGACCCCGUAACUUCGGGAGAAGGGGUGCUCUGUUAGGGUGCAAGCCCGAGAGAGCCGCAGUGAAUAGGCCCAGGCGACUGUUUAGCAAAAACACAGGUCUCUGCGAAGCCGUAAGGCGAAGUAUAGGGGCUGACGCCUGCCCGGUGCUGGAAGGUUAAGAGGAGCGCUUAGCGUAAGCGAAGGUGCGAAUUGAAGCCCCAGUAAACGGCGGCCGUAACUAUAACGAUCUCCUAAGGUAGCGAAAUUCCUUGUCGGGUAAGUUCCGACCCGCACGAAAGGCGCAACGAUCUGGGCACUGUCUCAACGAGAGACUCGGUGAAAUUAUAGUACCUGUGAAGAUGCAGGUUACCCGCGACAGGACGGAAAGACCCCGUGGAGCUUUACUGCAGCCUGAUAUUGAAUGUUGGUACAGCUUGUACAGGAUAGGUAGGAGCCUUGGAAACCGGAGCGCCAGCUUCGGUGGAGGCAUCGGUGGGAUACUACCCUGGCUGUAUUGACCUUCUAACCCGCCGCCCUUAUCGGGCGGGGAGACAGUGUCAGGUGGGCAGUUUGACUGGGGCGGUCGCCUCCUAAAAGGUAACGGAGGCGCCCAAAGGUUCCCUCAGAAUGGUUGGAAAUCAUUCGCAGAGUGUAAAGGCACAAGGGAGCUUGACUGCGAGACCUACAAGUCGAGCAGGGACGAAAGUCGGGCUUAGUGAUCCGGUGGUUCCGCAUGGAAGGCCAUCGCUCAACGGAUAAAAGCUACCCCGGGGAUAACAGGCUUAUCUCCCCCAAGAGUCCACAUCGACGGGGAGGUUUGGCACCUCGAUGUCGGCUCAUCGCAUCCUGGGGCUGUAGUCGGUCCCAAGGGUUGGGCUGUUCGCCCAUUAAAGCGGUACGCGAGCUGGGUUCAGAACGUCGUGAGACAGUUCUAUCCCUAUCCGUCGCGGGCGCAGGAAAUUUGAGAGGAGCUGUCCUUAGUACGAGAGGACCGGGAUGGACGCACCGCUGGUGUACCAGUUGUUCUGCCAAGGGCAUCGCUGGGUAGCUAUGUGCGGACGGGAUAAGUGCUGAAAGCAUCUAAGCAUGAAGCCCCCCUCAAGAUGAGAUUUCCCAUUCCGCAAGGAAGUAAGAUCCCUGAAAGAUGAUCAGGUUGAUAGGUCUGAGGUGGAAGUGUGGCGACACAUGGAGCUGACAGAUACUAAUCGAUCGAGGACUUAACCAA